AUCCAGUCUGUUCGGAUGGUAUCGAUUCCUACAAACCGGGACAAAUAUUUACCGAUAGAGCAGGGCGGAAAUGUAAAUGCGGAUAUGAUACAAAAAUAACUUGCCCAGAAAUAAACAGAGGAUGCGUGUACCUAGGAAAACAAUAUAGAAAUGGAAUGAUAUUUCCUGCUGAAGACGGGUGUAAUACAUGUCGGUGUAAAUUAACCGGACAGAUACUGUGCUCAAGCAGGCAGUGCUUUCAGAAAGCUACGUGUCAGCAUUUAGGCGUUGUAUACAGAGCGGGUGAUACCUUUAAGAAAGUGGAUAGCUGUAACUCAUGCACAUGUCUAGUAACGGGAAAAGUCAAGUGCACAGAAAACAAGUGCU
Long non-coding RNA from Saccostrea cuccullata (small rock oyster), 366 nucleotides. RefSeq lists it as uncharacterized. NCBI's taxonomy places the organism in Eukaryota, Metazoa, Mollusca, Bivalvia, Ostreida, Ostreidae. The record is from RefSeq and is a predicted model, not a curated record. The transcript is spliced from 3 exons.